Molecule: small RNA, 68 nt
Filed under: Peribacillus loiseleuriae
Lineage: Bacteria; Bacillati; Bacillota; Bacilli; Caryophanales; Bacillaceae
Description: Bacillus sp. FJAT-27997 Bacillaceae-1 RNA
Rfam family: Bacillaceae-1 RNA
Source: Rfam by way of RNAcentral
AUCAAUGAAUCACAGACUAAAUACGCCGUGUCCUCAUGUCUUCGUCCGUGUGACCCACGUCCCGUGGG